This 1491-nucleotide long non-coding RNA is filed under the name Cricetulus griseus (Chinese hamster). Its description in RNAcentral is "lncRNA (ENSCGRG00015039981.1)". Lineage: Eukaryota; Metazoa; Chordata; Mammalia; Rodentia; Cricetidae. The record is from RNAcentral.
CAGAAGCAAAGCUGAAGUCCAAGAACAAUGCUUAGCUGUUUGCAGAAGACCCAUGCUCAUGGCAUGGGUGUGGGCAUGGGAGAGCUGGUACCACUCCCUCACCUGGGCAGCAUAGGAGAGCUGGCCCUAAGGGUGAGAGCUGGUUCCACCCUUCCCCUUGCCACCUACAUACACUAGAGAGCUGGUCCUGAGAAGGGGGUAGUUGGCACCCUUUGACAAGUGCAGCAGUCAGGAGAAUCCCCAAACCUUGCUUGGACAGUACAGUAGAACUAGCCCAGUGGUGUGGGUGAGGGAGAACUAUCCUUGAUGACACACGUAUAGGAGAGUUGGUCCUGACCCUUGUCAACUGCCACCAGCAGAUGAAUUGGCCACAUUCCUCACCUGGGUAAAGUAGGAGUGGUGGCCUUGGUGGCAUGGUUACAAAAGAGCAGGCAGGCUGACAAACUCAGCUACCACCCAGGCCCAGAUCCAGGGUUUUGAGCUGGCCCACCCCAACAUCUGUGCCAUCCAGGAACACUGGGGCAUGUGAAGAGGAUGGUCCUAUAGAACCAAAGCUGCAGGAUCACCAUGACAUAGAGCAACAAUAAGAUAUCCAAGAGGAUUCCUGGUGAGGAUCCAGUGAAGCAGAAGCCAGAGGCCUGGACCAAUCCAAAGACUUACUGCAGUGAACAUUUGCAGGGGAGGUUGCAAGCGAAGAGGAUAGAUAUGGAGAAGUGGGAAGAUAAGUGAGAUUCGAGUGCAUUGAUUUGAAAUUCACAUAGAAUCAGUAAAAAAGUUUUUUAAAGCCAUUUAUCAAGAGAUAGAGUCAAAUGAUGUGAUUUUUAAGAACUACCUGAUGGCCGGAUGCUGGUGGCACAUGCCUUUAAUCCCAGCACUCGGGAGGUAGAGUCAGGCAGAUCCCUGUGAGCGUGAGGCCAGCUUGGUCUUCAAAGAGAGUUCCAGGACAGUCUCCAAACCUACAGAGAAACUCUGUUUCAAAAAACCAAAGCCAAAACAAAAAGACCCCAAAACAAACAAAAAGGCAAACAAACAAAAAGAACCAUCUGAUGACAUUCUGUGAAAUCUUCUUGUCCUGGGUGCCUGACUCCUGUGGUUUCCUUUUGCCACAGACCAGCUGGAAAGUGCCUCUUUCUUUCAGAGGUACCAGUGGAAAUGUACAAAGAACUUUCUUAAAUUUUAUCAUGAUAAAUAGCAGAAUUGUUUUUCAAAUGAGGAUUCACAUUUGAGUUGCGUGGGUAGAUAAAAUCAUUUACAAUCAAACCAAGCAUUGAUAACCUAAACCCCCAGUUUCCUAAAUUACUUUCAAAUUGUUGGGACUCUGUCAGCUUCUAGUUCCAUACAAAUUUCACUUCUGGAAAAGGGAAUGAGUGAUGGGAGAUGGAAAGAGAACAAGAAAAGAAAAAUGAGAAAGAAAUGUGAACAAGAUUGUGGCAUCAUAAAUUGCCCAUAAUGUAUCAAAAGCUUGGGCUGUUGUACAUUUAAAUUCAAAUC